UUAAAUUGCACAGUUACUUUAAAUUCUUAAAUAUGCAUUUAUCACGCAUGUCCACAAGAGGAAGCACUGCCUCGGAUGACUUUGAUGCAAAAUCCUACAGGCGUAUUCAUCCAGGCAGCUCAUAUGAGUAAAAUGAAGUAUAGUAAGACAUGACCUGGGAAAAGAAGCAGAAACUCUUUAAUAGGCCUAUUAACAUAAGAUUGGCAUUUUCUUAAGGAAAUAGGCCUAGCCUAUUAAAUUAUAUUUUAGAAGCUAUAAACCAAAAUAUAAGUCGAAGGAGAAAAGGAGAUGCAAUAUAAUAAAGAAUUUUUAUUUAAGACUGACUGAAGACAGAAAACAAAUAAAUUAAAAAAUGUAAUAAAUGUAAUUGCCAUCCAAUGCAAAUAUCAUUAUAAAUACCCGACUUAAAUAAUCCGUUUAUUCAUUUAUUAAAGAUUUUUCAGCGACUUCCUACACAAUUACUCAUAUUCGUGUGGAACACUUGAAAACACAUGAUACCCUCAUGUUUUUAUAUCACAAAGCGUUUGACCCGUUUACAAAAGAAAGUUCACUUUAAUGUCGUCAAAUCUAAGUUAUAGAUUGUAUGUCAGUAUAGUAGAAGUUUUGUUUAACAGUGUUAGUACAAGCCUUGGGUGAUAUCGAUGAUUUGUCAGACUUCCAAAAAGCCAGUUUAGCAGGAGUGUCUAACCUUAUCAGCCCAAUUAUUUUGGUGAUUCAAGAACAAGUCUUUUUGAUUAUGAGUAUGUACACAAAGCAUGGCAAGACUUCAUCAGCGAAGAAGAAUAGUGGAUGAAAACUGAAAGUGAAUCACAGGGAUCCACAAACACUAAGAUUGUGCCCAAACAACACAGAACUGCUGCUGCAAAGUAACAGCAAACAUUAAUAUUCACACUGAAGGGUUUUCCACAAAAACUAGCCAAAGACAACUUCACAAAGCCAACAUCCAAUAAAGAUGCAAUUGCUAAAACUUGAAUCAGACGCCAAUGUUAAAAUGCGAUGGAUGGAGCAACAAUCUGCCCUGGCCAGCUCAAUCACCAGAUCUGAAUACUAUUAAACCAUUAAAGGGUAGUUUUGGAGAGAAGAGAGAGGCAGAUUUCCUCCUACAACAUGCAGAUGUUUCAUAGACAGCAUUCAAAAUGUCACAUUCCAUUGGAGAAAAGUUCAAACGUUUUAGGAAUCUCCACUAAGAAGGGAAGCUGUGUUAAAGGCAAAUGAUGGUCAAACACCUUAAUAAAGAAAUAGCUUAUUUUUCAGGUGUUAACAGUAUUAUGUCCAAGCUCAUUACGUGUUGUUAAAUCAGCAGGGAUACACUAUAAUGUUAUCGUGGUUGGAGCUGGUAACAGAGUAGAAAUCUAUUCUGGCUAUGCUGUGAUUUUUCCUGACCGCAUGCGGGUAUGACUUCUGUUUUAAUAUAAUUUCAACAGUCAGCAAUUCAGCUGUUUCACCACCACGUUAAUAAAUUUCCUCACAGGUAAUGGGAAUUGCUGAACCCAGGGGUUUUGCUCGAAAGAAACUUCAGGCACAUCACAAAGUAUCUGAUCAAAACACUUUCAAUAGUAUGUCCAGCUUUUUGUUACAGUAAAAGUGUUUAUUCACAUAGAGUGGGGCUGUAAAGCAGAGAGAGAGAAAUUUGCAGAUGCUGUUUUGAUCUGCACUCCUGAUCGUCUUCAUAAGGUAUGUCCAUGUGCGUUUGGUCAGUGUUCACAUGAUAGAGUUCUCUUGAUCAGCAUGGUGUGAUUAGCUUUUUUUUUACUGGUUAAUGAAUGGCAUACUUGCACUUUAAGUUGUCUGCUUUGAAUGGGUUCAGUGUCCAACCAUUUUAUUGUUCUUCAGGACCCUGCUGUGGCUUUAGCUAAGAAAGGUUACCAUGUACUGCUGGAUAAACCAAUGGCUGUUACAGAGGAGGACUGCACCGAGAUUGUAGAGGCUUGCAUUCAGAGUGGCGUCAUGCUCACAGUGUGCCAUGUUCUCCGAUACGACCCUAUCAUCCACAGAAUUAAAGGGCUGAUUGACAGUGGAGUGAUUGGCGAUGUCUUCCACAUUCAACAUCUGGAACCGGUGGGGUUCUAUCAUUUUGCUCAUUCCUUUGUCAGAGGAAACUGGAGAAACGAGGCGGAAAGCUCUUUUGCUCUGUUAGGCUUAUGCUGACAUGAUUUGGAUCUGAUUCAUCACUGGGCUGGUGGACGAAGGUGCACUAAAUCUAACAUGACCUGUGCACAUGUGGCGAAGCUAAACUCAGUGAAUUAAUAGAAAGAGUGCUUCUUUAAUUAGUGUGUUUAGGCUGAUUGCACAGGACAAUAAGAGUUUAACCUCAUUGGAUGAUGAUGUGAUGCUGCUAUUAUAAUUAUAUUGGAAAGGGGCUCUUUUGGCUCUGGCCUGUUUUUUGAGAUUUCUUUCUUCAAAUUAUCGUCAAAAUAUAUCCUUUUUUUUUUUUUUUUAUCAAAAUUCUUCAUCAAUAUUCAUAAAGUUUUAAGGUAGUUCUUGAAGUUAAAUAACAUUUUUAGAUUAACAUUUUAUUAUGCAGGCUUAUCAAAGUUUUGUCAUUUUGUUGCCUUAGCCACUUCACAAAAGAUAACAAGGUUGGUAUUAACAUUAUUAUGUUUACUAUUGUGAGAUCUCAUGAAAAAAUGUAUUUCACAAUUUUCCUAGCCAGCUGCAAUGCUGCAGAUCGCUGUUUAGACUGUCCUGUAGAGGGGGACUGUGCAUAAUCUGCACAUAAAGAGUAAUGCAUUCAUGUACACUACAGUUCAGAAGUUUGGGGUCAGCAAGAUUUAAAAAAAAAAAAAAAAAAAAAGUAAUACUUUUAUUUAGCCAAGAUAAAGAGUUUUAUGUUACAGAAGAAGUGUUUCUUGCAAAUCAGCAUAUUAGAAUGAUUUCUGAAGGAUCAUGUGACACUGAAGACAGAAGUAAAGGCUGCUGAUAAUUCAGCUGUGUCAUCACAGGAAUAAAUUACAUUUUAAAAUAUAUUCAAAUAGAAAACAGCUAUUUUAAAUUUUCAUAAUAUUUUACAAUAUUUAUGAUCAAAUAAAUGCAUCCUUGGUGAGCAUAAAAUAUUUCUUCUUUUUUUAAAAAACAAAAACAAAAACAAAACAUAACCCCAUAAUUUUGUAAAAGUGACACAUCAUUACUUUCUGCUUAAUGAAGUUUGUGAUCAUAUGAUGUAUAUAGCACAAAAUAAAAACAUAUAUUUUAUGGAUGACAUUUUAUUCAUAAAUCAGGGCGGUGUUGAAUCUUCUGUUGAUUUAUUAUGCAGAUGAAUAAUAAUAAUAAAAAAGGACCAUGA
This is an RNA transcript of Onychostoma macrolepis, 3283 nucleotides long. RefSeq lists it as uncharacterized. NCBI's taxonomy places the organism in Eukaryota, Metazoa, Chordata, Actinopteri, Cypriniformes, Cyprinidae. The record is from RefSeq and is a predicted model, not a curated record. The transcript is spliced from 4 exons.